This 2923-nucleotide ribosomal RNA is filed under the name Klebsiella pneumoniae. RNAcentral describes it as "23S ribosomal RNA". It matches the Rfam family "Bacterial large subunit ribosomal RNA". The record is from RNAcentral. Lineage: Bacteria; Pseudomonadati; Pseudomonadota; Gammaproteobacteria; Enterobacterales; Enterobacteriaceae.
GGGUUGUGAGGUUAAGCGACUAAGCGUACACGGUGGAUGCCCUGGCAGUCAGAGGCGAUGAAGGACGUGCUAAUCUGCGAAAAGCGUCGGUAAGGUGAUAUGAACCGUUAUAGCCGGCGAUGUCCGAAUGGGGAAACCCAGUGUGAUUCGUCACACUAUCGUUAACUGAAUACAUAGGUUAACGAGGCGAACCGGGGGAACUGAAACAUCUAAGUACCCCGAGGAAAAGAAAUCAACCGAGAUUCCCCCAGUAGCGGCGAGCGAACGGGGAGCAGCCCAGAGUCUGAAUCAGCUUGUGUGUUAGUGGAACGGUCUGGAAAGUCCGACGGUACAGGGUGAUAGUCCCGUACACCAAAAUGCACAGGUUGUGAACUCGAAGAGUAGGGCGGGACACGUGGUAUCCUGUCUGAAUAUGGGGGGACCAUCCUCCAAGGCUAAAUACUCCUGACUGACCGAUAGUGAACCAGUACCGUGAGGGAAAGGCGAAAAGAACCCCGGCGAGGGGAGUGAAAAAGAACCUGAAACCGUGUACGUACAAGCAGUGGGAGCACCUUCGGGUGUGACUGCGUACCUUUUGUAUAAUGGGUCAGCGACUUAUAUUCUGUAGCAAGGUUAACCGUAUAGGGGAGCCGCAGGGAAACCGAGUCUUAACUGGGCGUUAAGUUGCAGGGUAUAGACCCGAAACCCGGUGAUCUAGCCAUGGGCAGGUUGAAGGUUGGGUAACACUAACUGGAGGACCGAACCGACUAAUGUUGAAAAAUUAGCGGAUGACUUGUGGCUGGGGGUGAAAGGCCAAUCAAACCGGGAGAUAGCUGGUUCUCCCCGAAAGCUAUUUAGGUAGCGCCUCGUGAACUCAUCUUCGGGGGUAGAGCACUGUUUCGGCUAGGGGGUCAUCCCGACUUACCAACCCGAUGCAAACUACGAAUACCGAAGAAUGUUAUCACGGGAGACACACGGCGGGUGCUAACGUCCGUCGUGAAGAGGGAAACAACCCAGACCGCCAGCUAAGGUCCCAAAGUCAUGGUUAAGUGGGAAACGAUGUGGGAAGGCACAGACAGCCAGGAUGUUGGCUUAGAAGCAGCCAUCAUUUAAAGAAAGCGUAAUAGCUCACUGGUCGAGUCGGCCUGCGCGGAAGAUGUAACGGGGCUAAACCAUGCACCGAAGCUGCGGCAGCGACACUAUGUGUUGUUGGGUAGGGGAGCGUUCUGUAAGCCUGCGAAGGUGACCUGUGAGGGUUGCUGGAGGUAUCAGAAGUGCGAAUGCUGACAUAAGUAACGAUAAAGCGGGUGAAAAGCCCGCUCGCCGGAAGACCAAGGGUUCCUGUCCAACGUUAAUCGGGGCAGGGUGAGUCGACCCCUAAGGCGAGGCCGAAAGGCGUAGUCGAUGGGAAACAGGUUAAUAUUCCUGUACUUGGUGUUACUGCGAAGGGGGGACGGAGAAGGCUAUGUUAGCCGGGCGACGGUUGUCCCGGUUUAAGCAUGUAGGCUGAUUGUCCAGGCAAAUCCGGAUAAUCAAGGCUGAGGUGUGAUGACGAGGCACUACGGUGCUGAAGUAACAAAUGCCCUGCUUCCAGGAAAAGCCUCUAAGCAUCAGGUAACAUUAAAUCGUACCCCAAACCGACACAGGUGGUCAGGUAGAGAAUACCAAGGCGCUUGAGAGAACUCGGGUGAAGGAACUAGGCAAAAUGGUGCCGUAACUUCGGGAGAAGGCACGCUGGUGUGUAGGUGAAGCCCCUGCGGGUGGAGCUGAGACCAGUCGAAGAUACCAGCUGGCUGCAACUGUUUAUUAAAAACACAGCACUGUGCAAACACGAAAGUGGACGUAUACGGUGUGACGCCUGCCCGGUGCCGGAAGGUUAAUUGAUGGGGUUAUCCGUAAGGAGAAGCUCUUGAUCGAAGCCCCGGUAAACGGCGGCCGUAACUAUAACGGUCCUAAGGUAGCGAAAUUCCUUGUCGGGUAAGUUCCGACCUGCACGAAUGGCGUAAUGAUGGCCAGGCUGUCUCCACCCGAGACUCAGUGAAAUUGAACUCGCUGUGAAGAUGCAGUGUACCCGCGGCAAGACGGAAAGACCCCGUGAACCUUUACUAUAGCUUGACACUGAACAUUGAGCCUUGAUGUGUAGGAUAGGUGGGAGGCUUUGAAGCGUGGACGCCAGUCUGCGUGGAGCCAACCUUGAAAUACCACCCUUUAAUGUUUGAUGUUCUAACGUUGGCCCCUGACCGGGGUUGCGGACAGUGUCUGGUGGGUAGUUUGACUGGGGCGGUCUCCUCCCAAAGCGUAACGGAGGAGCACGAAGGUUAGCUAAUCCUGGUCGGACAUCAGGAGGUUAGUGCAAUGGCAUAAGCUAGCUUGACUGCGAGCGUGACGGCGCGAGCAGGUGCGAAAGCAGGUCAUAGUGAUCCGGUGGUUCUGAAUGGAAGGGCCAUCGCUCAACGGAUAAAAGGUACUCCGGGGAUAACAGGCUGAUACCGCCCAAGAGUUCAUAUCGACGGCGGUGUUUGGCACCUCGAUGUCGGCUCAUCACAUCCUGGGGCUGAAGUAGGUCCCAAGGGUAUGGCUGUUCGCCAUUUAAAGUGGUACGCGAGCUGGGUUUAGAACGUCGUGAGACAGUUCGGUCCCUAUCUGCCGUGGGCGCUGGAGAAUUGAGGGGGGCUGCUCCUAGUACGAGAGGACCGGAGUGGACGCAUCACUGGUGUUCGGGUUGUCAUGCCAAUGGCACUGCCCGGUAGCUAAAUGCGGAAGAGAUAAGUGCUGAAAGCAUCUAAGCACGAAACUUGCCCCGAGAUGAGUUCUCCCUGAGACUUUAAGUCUCCUGAAGGAACGUUGAAGACGACGACGUUGAUAGGCCGGGUGUGUAAGCGCAGCGAUGCGUUGAGCUAACCGGUACUAAUGAACCGUGAGGCUUAACCUUACAACGCCGAAG